This 570-nucleotide ribosomal RNA is filed under the name uncultured bacterium. Its description in RNAcentral is "bacterial SSU rRNA". It matches the Rfam family "Bacterial small subunit ribosomal RNA", at positions 342 to 912 of the family's 1533-position model. The record is from RNAcentral.
CGGGAGGCAGCAGUGAGGAAUAUUGGACAAUGGGCGCAAGCCUGAUCCAGCCAUGCCGCGUGCAGGAAGACUGCCCUAUGGGUUGUAAACUGCUUUUAUAUAGGAAGAAACCUUGGUACGUGUACCAAGCUGACGGUACUAUAAGAAUAAGGAUCGGCUAACUCCGUGCCAGCAGCCGCGGUAAUACGGAGGAUCCAAGCGUUAUCCGGAAUCAUUGGGUUUAAAGGGUCCGUAGGUGGAUAAUUAAGUCAGAGGUGAAAUCUUGCAGCUCAACUGUAAAAUUGCCUUUGAUACUGGUUAUCUUGAGUUAUUAUGAAGUAGUUAGAAUAUGUAGUGUAGCGGUGAAAUGCAUAGAUAUUACAUAGAAUACCAAUUGCGAAGGCAGAUUACUAAUAAUCAACUGACACUGAUGGACGAAAGCGUGGGUAGCGAACAGGAUUAGAUACCCUGGUAGUCCACGCCGUAAACGAUGGAUACUAGCUGUCCGGUCUUCGGACUGGGUGGCCAAGCGAAAGUGAUAAGUAUCCCACCUGGGGAGUACGGUCGCAAGACUAAAACUCAAAGGAAUUG